GAUCAUGGCUCAGGAUGAACGCUAGCUACAGGCUUAACACAUGCAAGUCGAGGGGCAGCAUGAUCGAAGCUUGCUCGAUUGAUGGCGACCGGCGCGACGGGUGAGUAACGCGUAUCCAACCUUCCCUAUAGUAGAGAAUAGCCCGGCGAAAGUCGGAUUAAUGCUCUAUGUUGUAUUUAGAAGACAUCUGAAGAAUACCAAAGGUUUACCGCUAUAGGAUGGGGAUGCGUCUGAUUAGGUUGUUGGCGGGGUAACGGCCCACCAAGCCCACGAUCAGUAGGGGUUCUGAGAGGAAGGUCCCCCACAUUGGAACUGAGACACGGUCCAAACUCCUACGGGAGGCAGCAGUGAGGAAUAUUGGUCAAUGGACGCAAGUCUGAACCAGCCAAGUAAGCGUGCAGGACGACGGCCCUAUGGGUUGUAAACUGCUUUUAUACAGGGAUAAAGUGAGGGACGUGUCCCUUUUUGUAGGUACUGUAUGAAUAAGGACCGGCUAAUUCCGUGCCAGCCGCGGC
Molecule: ribosomal RNA, 515 nt
Filed under: uncultured bacterium
Lineage: Bacteria
Description: bacterial SSU rRNA
Rfam family: Bacterial small subunit ribosomal RNA
Source: RNAcentral